CGAGCGGUAGAAGAUCUUCGGAUCUUUGAGAGCGGCGCACGGGUGCGGAACACGUGUGCAACCUGCCUUUAUCUGGGGGAUAGCCUUUCGAAAGGAAGAUUAAUACCCCAUAAUAUAUUGAGUGGCAUCACUUAAUAUUGAAAACUCCGGUGGAUAGAGAUGGGCACGCGCAAGAUUAGAUAGUUGGUGAGGUAACGGCUCACCAAGUCAAUGAUCUUUAGGGGGCCUGAGAGGGUGAUCCCCCACACUGGUACUGAGACACGGACCAGACUCCUACGGGAGGCAGCAGUGAGGAAUAUUGGACAAUGGGUGAGAGCCUGAUCCAGCCAUCCCGCGUGAAGGACGACGGCCCUAUGGGUUGUAAACUUCUUUUAUACUGGGAUAAACCUACUUACGUGUAAGUAGCUGAAGGUACAGUAUGAAUAAGCACCGGCUAACUCCGUGCCAGCAGCCGCGGUAAUACGGAGGGUGCAAGCGUUAUCCGGAUUUAUUGGGUUUAAAGGGUCCGUAGGCGGACUCGUAAGUCAGUGGUGAAAUCUCAUAGCUUAACUAUGAAACUGCCAUUGAUACUGCGGGUCUUGAGUAAAGUAGAAGUGGCUGGAAUAAGUAGUGUAGCGGUGAAAUGCAUAGAUAUUACUUAGAACACCAAUUGCGAAGGCAGGUCACUAUGUUUUAACUGACGCUGAUGGACGAAAAGCGUGGGGAGCGAACAGGAUUAGA
RNAcentral lists this ribosomal RNA (720 nucleotides) under Chryseobacterium sp. ZFJT-10. RNAcentral's name for it is "bacterial SSU rRNA". It matches the Rfam family "Bacterial small subunit ribosomal RNA", at positions 63 to 782 of the family's 1533-position model. Lineage: Bacteria; Pseudomonadati; Bacteroidota; Flavobacteriia; Flavobacteriales; Weeksellaceae. The record is from RNAcentral.